Molecule: long non-coding RNA, 515 nt
Filed under: Homo sapiens (human)
Lineage: Eukaryota; Metazoa; Chordata; Mammalia; Primates; Hominidae
Description: long intergenic non-protein coding RNA 1811
Source: RNAcentral
UACAUUAGAAGUCUGAUUCACAGGUCGGGGCAAAGUGAAAAACAUCUGCACUUUUAAAAGAGAGGUCAAAAGUCCGUCUGACUCACCUGUGCUGAGUGACUUGAAUGCCAUCUAAUCUAACUUCAAGUGUAAGAAUUCUGGACCCUUAUUUGAAGUCUCUCCUGCUUUGUUGGGCAAAAGUAAUGAGAAACUCCACUUGGCUUCAGAAUGCAGUGUCAACUCCACAUGAAUCAAAGCAAUAAAAAAGAAUCAACUCAGAGCAGGCUGAGCUAUGUGAGGUUCUUUUUGAGGGGAGUCUCUCUGAUGCUUGGAAUGAAUCCUGCUGAAUCAAUGCUGAUGCUUGGAGAUCUUCAAGUCUUUUCCCUUUUUCCCAUUGCUCAUGAUGUCUAUAUAACCUCCAAACAUGCAUCCCACUCCUCUGCCGAAAGACCAUUUUUUUAUAUCUUCAGUGAUGGUCUAGGCCAGGUUAAUUGACUUUUCUUUUUUCUUAAGCCAACUAAAGUCCUCACCACAAA